GGCAGGAUGUAGGGUUGCUAUGGGGCAGGAGAUAGGGUUGCUAUGGGGCAGGAUAUAGCGUUGCUAUGGGGCAGGAUAUAGCGUUGCUAUGGGGCAGGCUAUAGGGUUGCUAUGGGGCAGGAUAUAGGGCAGGCUAAAGGGUUGCUAUGGGGCAGGCUAUAGGGUUGCUAUGGGGCAGGCUAUAGGGUUGCUAUGGGGCAGGCUGGUUGGUUGCUAUGGGGCAGGCUAUAGGGUUGGUUGCUAUGGGGCAGGCUGUGGGCUAAAGCCUCUGCCCCCCCGCAUGGUCCAUGGAUUUGUGGGGCGCCCCAUGGCCACCCCGCAGUGACCCCAUGCCAGAGCCAGCGCCCGCUGCGCUCCCCACUGAAACCAUGGGCCUGGCCCCUGCCUGUGGGGCAGGCCCCUGAACGGGGGGGGACACGAA
Long non-coding RNA from Pezoporus occidentalis (night parrot), 421 nucleotides. RefSeq lists it as uncharacterized. The transcript has 4 exons. NCBI's taxonomy places the organism in Eukaryota, Metazoa, Chordata, Aves, Psittaciformes, Psittacidae. The record is from RefSeq and is a predicted model, not a curated record.